This 624-nucleotide ribosomal RNA is filed under the name uncultured Bacteroidota bacterium. Its description in RNAcentral is "uncultured Bacteroidetes bacterium partial 16S ribosomal RNA". The record is from RNAcentral. Lineage: Bacteria; Pseudomonadati; Bacteroidota.
GGGAGCUCUCCCAUAUGGUCGACCUGCAGGCGGCCGCGAAUUCACUAGUGAUUCGUAUUACCGCGGCUGCUGGCACGGAGUUAGCCGGUGCUUAUUCAUAGGGUACUGUCAAGUGAGAAAGAAUUCCCUUUUUUCGCCCCCUAUAAAAGAAGUUUACAAUCCAGAGGACCUUCAUCCUUCACGCGGCAUGGCUGGUUCAGACUUGCGUCCAUUGACCAAUAUUCCUUACUGCUGCCUCCCGUAGGAGUCGGGCCCGUGUCUCAGUGCCCGUGUGGCUGAUCAUGCUCUCACAUCAGCUACUGAUCGAAGGCUUGGUGGGCCUUUACCCCGCCAACUACCUAAUCAGCCGCACACCCAUCUUCAAGCGUCGAAACUAUAAUAACAGUGUGAUGCCACACCGCUAUAUUACGGGGUAUUAAUCCACAUUUCUAUGGGCUAUCCCCCUCUUAAAGGAAGGUUGUGUACGUGUUCCGCACCCGUUUGCCGGUCGCCAGCCUCUAUAUUGCUAUAAAGCUGCUGCCCCUCGACUUGCAUGUAUUAAGCCUGCCGCUAGCGUUCAUCCUGAGCCAUGAUCAAACUCUAAUCGAAUUCCCGCGGCCGCCAUGGCGGCCGGGAGCAUGCGAC